AGUGGAAGCGUCUGGAAAGGCGCGCGAUACAGGGUGACAGCCCCGUACACAAAAGCGCAUGUGCUGUGAGCUCGAUGAGUAGGGCGGGACACGUGGUAUCCUGUCUGAAUAUGGGGGGACCAUCCUCCAAGGCUAAAUACUCCUGACUGACCGAUAGUGAACCAGUACCGUGAGGGAAAGGCGAAAAGAACCCCGGCGAGGGGAGUGAAAAAGAACCUGAAACCGUGUACGUACAAGCAGUGGGAGCACCCUUCGGGGUGUGACUGCGUACCUUUUGUAUAAUGGGUCAGCGACUUAUAUUCUGUAGCAAGGUUAACCGUAUAGGGGAGCCG
RNAcentral lists this ribosomal RNA (332 nucleotides) under Salmonella enterica subsp. enterica serovar Typhimurium. Its description in RNAcentral is "partial 23S ribosomal RNA". It matches the Rfam family "Bacterial large subunit ribosomal RNA", at positions 331 to 668 of the family's 2925-position model. The record is from RNAcentral. Lineage: Bacteria; Pseudomonadati; Pseudomonadota; Gammaproteobacteria; Enterobacterales; Enterobacteriaceae.